RNAcentral lists this transfer-messenger RNA (359 nucleotides) under Anaerovoracaceae. RNAcentral's name for it is "RGIG7179 sp016302925 Standard tmRNA". It matches the Rfam family "transfer-messenger RNA". From Rfam's summary of the family: Bacterial tmRNA, also known as 10Sa RNA or SsrA, is named for its dual tRNA and mRNA-like properties. Its role is to liberate the mRNA from a stalled ribosome. To accomplish this part of the tmRNA is used as a reading frame that ends in a translation stop signal. Lineage: Bacteria; Bacillati; Bacillota; Clostridia; Peptostreptococcales. The record is from RNAcentral. RNAcentral also lists the same sequence under 2 other names.
GGGGGUGUAAAGGUUUCGACGGGGGUGUAGAAGCCGGAUAAGCGAGCGGUAGUUUGUCCAGUCUACCUUAAAAAGGACACGUUAAAUAUAAACGCUAAAAAUAACAACAAUUUCGCAUUAGCAGCUUAGUUCUGCACCGCGCGUCAGCCCGGGUUUACCUGUAGGCCCGGAACCUGGCGUCGACUAUACAGGAAAACUCUGUGAGAGCUCCCGGUAUCACAGGGGAUCAACGGGAUAGCUGAUUUCGCAGCCUGUUAAUGGGCGUCGAAAAAGGCGAAGCUAAAAAUCAUUAACUGCGCUCGGAGAAAGUCCUGUGGAAAUGCUUUCGGACGUGGGUUCGACUCCCACCAUCUCCACCA